Pogoniulus pusillus (Red-fronted tinkerbird) is the source of this 4688-nucleotide long non-coding RNA. RefSeq lists it as uncharacterized. The record is from RefSeq and is a predicted model, not a curated record. The transcript is spliced from 8 exons. Lineage: Eukaryota; Metazoa; Chordata; Aves; Piciformes; Lybiidae.
CAGAGACAUUGCCUGUUGUCGCAGACACUGGUCUAGGUGUCUCAGCACGGGAAAGAAGGCAGGAAGGGAGGAGCAGUGUUGGACAGAAACGUCACUCAUCAGUGAUUGCUUCUGGUGUUUUUUGAUCUGUCUGCUGUAUCCUGAACAUUUUCCAUGCAUCAGUGACUGGGAAUAUUUUAAGCUGGCGUCAAAGACAGAGUCUGUGGGGAAGUCUGCACACAAAGAAUCCUUCUUCAUUGUUCUGGCUCAGCAGUGAUCGUGCCUUUUGCCAGCUGCUUCUCCUGCUGCAGCAGCAGAGCAAACUAAAAAUAAUCAAUCAGAUCAUGAUCCCCAAUCCAUAGUCUCAUUUCCAGAGCCAAAGCACUACUGGAUGACAGAAAAUACUCAACUCCAUUAGCAGCAGCCAUCCGGCAGAGCCCAGCUUGGCAGAGCCCAGGCUAAUGGCUGUGCAAGGAAGCACAGGAGAGGCCACACAGGAAGAUGAUACAAAGAGGAACCACAGUUGUAGAUGAGGAGUAGAACACAAUGAAAUGGGCUGGAGGACUCUGGAAUGUCCUCUGGCAUAAGGAACCAACCUCAUCUCUGUAAGCUUUGUGCAGGAAAAAUGCCCUAACAGAGAAUCACAAAAUCCCAGCAUGGCAGGAGUUGGAAGGGACCUCUGGAGAUCAUCAAGGCCACCCCCUGCCCGAGCAGGAUUACUCAGGGCAGCUCACACAGGCUCACAUCCAGAUGGGCCUUGAAAGUCUCCAAAGGAGAAGACUCCACAAGCUGUCUGGGCAGCCUGCUCCAGGACUUCAGCACUCUCACAUUUUCCUCGUGUGGAGGUGGAACUUCACAGAGUUCCCACCUGGGCACCCCUGGCUCAUCUCCAGUUGCUGUCACCCAGCACCCCCAGGGCACUUCCCAUCCACUCUGCCCCCAGCCUGCAGACUUCAUGGGGUUGUUGUGACCCAAGGGCAGGACCCAGCCCUUGGCCUUGUUGUACUUCAUCCCACUGGCCUCAUGCCAUCGAUCCAGCCUGUCCAGACUUCUCUGUAGCCUUCCUCAACACUCCCUCCCAGCUCCGUGUCAUCUGCUGCAAACUGGCUGAGGGAACCUCAACGCCCUCAUCCAGGUCAUUAAUAAAGACAUUAAAGAGAACUGGCCCCAGCACUGAGCCCUGAGGAUCACCACCAAUGACUGUCCUCCAGCUAGAAGCUACAAGGUCUGGAAGUGGUGCAAAAGAAGGAAGGUACUCCUGAAGACAGGGUGAGGGAAGAAGGGAGAAGUCCAGAGGGAAGAUGAUGUUUAGUGAAAAGCUGUCUAGGAAACAGCUCCCUUGAGAAGAGUUAAUGGCUGCAUUCAGGAGCCUGUAGCUGUCUCUAGGACAUCACAGUGUUACACCUGGGUCCUAGAAGGAAACCUGAACUGAAGCCAGCGGAGCCCAGCAGAGAUCAGAACUUCUGGAAAUAGCUUCUUCUGCAGAGGAAGGAAGGUUCUGUGCUGAGAGUCAUGUGUGUCCUCUCAGCGUCUCUUCCAGAAACAGCCUCUGCUGCCUGUGUCUGUAGGGCUUUGGACACCAGCUGCUGCUGCUGCUGCUGACGUUUGGAUUCUGAGCUGGAAAUCCUGUUUACCAAGUUACCACUUGCCUUGGUAAAGAGUUCCAGCUCCUUACUGCUGGGACCCAUGGGGCUCUGCGGAGAAGAAAAAGGACUAAUUGGAAGGACAUAAUUUCUCUGGCAAAGUCAGCCUCUUGCUCUGUCCAUGAGCGUGGCAGCAGUGUGGUUUCUGGAAUGGCCUUCUUGUUCCAGAACAUUCCCUGAGCAGGAGCUCUAUGCUGUGACAUUUGCCACUAGAUGUUGGCUGCUGAUGCAUUUCUCCGAAGGCAGGCCUGAUCGUGCUGGAGAACACUUCUGUGGAGGAAGCUUCCUGCUGUGGUUGAUAUUUGUCCCCCUGCUCUGGAAGGUUGCUCCAUGUGAUGACAAAGGCUGAAGCUUCUCACAGGCUGUUGGAGAAUUCAUGUGCUGCGAGAGAAGUGAUGAUGCAGGAGAUGCUGCUGGGGCAGAAAGCACUACGAGAUGAGCGUCGAGCACAGAAGAACUGAUGUGGGUCCCAAAGGAAAGAUGGAAUCCAUUUAACAGUGGCAGGAACAUAGAGGAUGUAAAGUAUGGAAGUGCUGAUGCCAGUGAAGUUGUCCUCACACUGGUGGUAAUCUGCUUGGGCAGAAGCAAGCUGCUGAAGUGUUGGGCUGCAGCAAAGCACAUCACUGCUUCCCCUUACUGCCUGGAGCUUUAAUGCACAAGGGAAAACUGAAUAAACACAUUCCAGGAGCGUCACAGGACACAGAAGCAGCCUGCAAUAUCCACUGCAGCAGGAUUCUCUUGUAGAGCUGCAUGUACACCAGAGUACUCAGGAGGCAGCAUUUCUACAGCAGUUUGCUUCAAUGCUUACAGAAAAUCAGCUUUUCUGUGAUGACACAAAGUGUGGCUGCAGAUCUCUGUCUGGAAUCAGGGAACACAGCCUAGGUGCCACCUCUUGCUGCACCACAGCAUCAUACGUAAGAUUUAGCAGUGGCCUUGGUCUGCACAGGAGGAAGCACAAAGAGCCUUUCUGCAUCCCAGCCCUUGGCAAAUCACAGAAUGGAGGGGUUGGAAGUAACCUCUGGAGAUCAUCCAGCCCAACCCCUCUGCCAGAGCACAGUGACCCAGGGCAGGGUACACAGGAACACAUCCAGAUGACCCAGCUGUGCUCCUGGCCACCCGGCACCAAAGCAGGAGGACCACCGCGGCUGCUCCGUGGGAGAGGUUAAGCUGGAAAUGCAGAGAGCUGCGGCAGAAGGGUUGAAUGGGAAAGAAAAGGCAAAGCUCCAGGAACUGUUUGUGCCUCCCUGCAAACGCUGCUGAUGUCAUUCUUUUGGAAGUGAGGAGCAAAACUCCUUCGGAGCCUAAUGAGAAGAGGCUGAGGCCCUGCACAGCAAAGCUGCGCUCUGGAUCCCUGGAAGCCAGGUCUGUGACUGGUGCGACACAGGCAGGCUGAGCCUUGGAACGGGUCUGAUGGGGUGCCAGUGGGAAGUGGCAGUGCCACAGCUGGGGGUGGUCUGCACUCUGCCUGCUCCUGCUCUGCAGGCUGCAGUUAUGGAGUCACGGGAUGAGGGGUGAUGGCUUCAGGCUGGAAGAAACUGGACUGAGAUGAGCAAUGAGGAAGCAAUUCCUGCCCAGGAGGGUGGGAAGGUACUAGAACAGGUUGUCCAGAGAAGCUGUGGAGGCUUCAAGCCUGGCAGUGUUCAAGGCCAGGUUGGCUGUGUCCUUGAGCAACCUGGGCUAGUGAGAGGUGUCUCUGCCCAUGGCAGGGGGCUGGAACUGGAUCUUGAAGGCCCCUUGCAAUCCAGACCAUUCUGUGCUUCUAUGAGUGUAAGUUCCCAACUGAGCUCAGGUCAUUCGCAUCCAAUGCUUCCACACUGCACCAAAGCCCGGGGGUUCUUGGACCAUAGCUUGUGGGGGGGCUGAGCCCAGCAGCUUUUUCAGGUGAGGCUGGUGGCUGAAUGUGGGUCUUAAGUGCUGUAUUGAAGACCAAAGUUUAUUUAUUCAGCCUCAAGAUAAGCAACUUAAUGUUGCUGAUUUGAAUGCAAAUGAGGGCAAGACCUCAUGCCUGGAGGACUCUCUGAUGUGGUUACACUGGAGGUUUACACUAAACACAAGUGGAAAUCUGAAACACAGUUGUCCCAGCCUACCAAAUCAGUUUGCGUAAAGCAUGUGGAGCUUGGAAAAGCAUUGUCUGCAGACAGGCUGUGCAAGUGGUGUUGCUUUCAUCUGGAGAAGGCUGCACUUGCAGUGACUUAUUGAGGCCUGUUUUGCUAAUUCACUGAAAUACCACCUGUAGCACAGAACCACUGCCAAAGCCCUUUCAGCUCACCUAGCCCAGCCAUUCUCUAACAAGGCUGGGGUUAAGCCAUGGCCCUCAGCACCUCUGCCUCUGGGAAACACCUCCAGGAGUGGCCAUUCAGUCCUCUCCCUGGGGAGCCUGUGCCAGGCUCUGAGAACCCUUUCAGUCAAGAAGUUUCUUCUGUUGUCUGCAACCUAAACCUUCCCUGGGGCAACUUGAGGCCAUUUCUUCCUCUUCUGUCACCUGAUCCUAGGAAGAGACUAAACCCCACCUGACUCCAGAGACAGGUGUCCUUUCAGCCUCCUCCACACUAAACUCCUUCAGCUGCUCCUCACCAGCCCUGAUCUCCAGACACUUCACCAACUUUGUUGCCCUCCUCUGGACCUGUUCCAGCACCUCUACAUCCUUCUUGGAGUGAGGACAACCCUCACUUGUCAGGAAGAAGAGAGCUGGGCUUUUGUAAGAAACUGUUCCUUGCUGUGAUGGUACUCUCUGGUAGACAGAGGGUGUUGAAGGAGAGAGCCUCUCUAAAUUCCCUGGAGCCAGGGCUUUGUUUUGAAGUGAGGUAAAAGACAGAAUACCAGUGCAGCCAGAGAAGCUGAGACACCCUCGGAUCACCUUGGUGAGGGCUGAAACUCCUCGCUGUGCCAGGGGAUAAACGUACGAACAGGCAGCAGCACAGCAUGCAAGGAGACCUUUGUGAACCACUGCCCUGGGACAACUCACCUAGCUCAGCCGGCAGGGCAGUGCUGGCGCUCUGUGGAACAACCUUGCUUAGUGCUCUAUUCUGUUAAAGUAACCAAGGUUCGCCACGGGGCUUCAGCUUU